RNAcentral lists this ribosomal RNA (407 nucleotides) under uncultured Arthrobacter sp. RNAcentral's name for it is "bacterial SSU rRNA". It matches the Rfam family "Bacterial small subunit ribosomal RNA", at positions 355 to 774 of the family's 1533-position model. The record is from RNAcentral. Lineage: Bacteria; Bacillati; Actinomycetota; Actinomycetes; Micrococcales; Micrococcaceae.
UGGGGAAUAUUGCACAAUGGGCGAAAGCCUGAUGCAGCGACGCCGCGUGAGGGAUGACGGCCUUCGGGUUGUAAACCUCUUUCAGUAGGGAAGAAGCGAAAGUGACGGUACCUGCAGAAGAAGCGCCGGCUAACUACGUGCCAGCAGCCGCGGUAAUACGUAGGGCGCAAGCGUUAUCCGGAAUUAUUGGGCGUAAAGAGCUCGUAGGCGGUUUGUCGCGUCUGCCGUGAAAGUCCGGGGCUCAACCCCGGAUCUGCGGUGGGUACGGGCAGACUAGAGUGAUGUAGGGGAGACUGGAAUUCCUGGUGUAGCGGUGAAAUGCGCAGAUAUCAGGAGGAACACCGAUGGCGAAGGCAGGUCUCUGGGCAUUAACUGACGCUGAGGAGCGAAAGCAUGGGGAGCGAACA